This 630-nucleotide ribosomal RNA is filed under the name uncultured bacterium. RNAcentral's name for it is "bacterial SSU rRNA". The stretch from base 1 to 538 matches the Rfam family "Bacterial small subunit ribosomal RNA", at positions 338 to 873 of the family's 1533-position model. The record is from RNAcentral.
CCUACGGGAGGCAGCAGUCGAGAAUCUUCGGCAAUGGACGCAAGUCUGACCGAGCGACGCCGCGUGCGGGAUGAAGGCCUUCGGGUUGUAAACCGCUGUCAGAGGGGAUGAAGUGUACGGGAGUUAUCUCCUGUAUUUGACAGAGCCUCAGAGGAAGCACGGGCUAAGUUCGUGCCAGCAGCCGCGGUAAUACGAACUGUGCGAACGUUAUUCGGAAUCACUGGGCUUAAAGGGUGCGUAGGCGGCUGCCUAAGUCAGGUGUGAAAUCUCUCGGCUCAACCGGGAAACUGCGCUUGAUACUGGGCGGCUCGAGUGAGGUAGGGGUGUGUGGAACUUCCGGUGGAGCGGUGAAAUGUGUAGAUAUCGGAAGGAACGCCAGCAGCGAAAGCGGCACACUGGGCCUUUUCUGACGCUGAGGCACGAAAGCUAGGGGAGCGAACGGGAUUAGAUACCCCGGUAGUCCUAGCCGUAAACACUGAACACUCGAGGAGGGGGCUUCGGGCCUUCUUUCUCUUAGCGAAGCGUUAAGUGUUCCGCCUGGGGAGUAGUGGUCGCGAGGCGUAGAAACGUUAAAGGUAAGUUAGUACGGCGUGAGACGUCGCCGACGGACGACCGACGAGGGAGGUUAGG